GAACGUCUUCGUGUGGGUCCCAGGAGUUGCUCCCUCUGACGAAGACGUUCCACAUCUCGUUCAAGUUGAGAAUUGACUUCCUUCAGCUGAUCCAAUGUCUCUCUGCCGCUCUUCACAGUUCGUUCGGACUUCUUCAGCUCCUCACUUUUGCUUAUAAGAUCGACAUGCUGGACUGGUAGCCGAGGAUCACCCACAGCCUUUUCAGUCUCUUCAAGUAAUUGAACAGGAGUUAACUUUGCAAACUCACAAACCCUGUCUUGAGGCAGAAAUUGAGUCAAAUUGUUGACUUGGAUAUUGAACCUUUGAAUCAUAUCAGUUACGUUCUUCUUUGGCACAGCUUUUCCAUUAAAAAUCCACUCAGACUUGUUCCGCGUAUCUAUUUUUCGCAAAAUAGUUAACUGGUCCUCUUUGGUUUCCCCUCUCAAGGAAAUCUUGAUGUAACCUGAUUCUUCCCCGCGUUUCACAAAUGCUCCAAUACUAGAAGCCCUCCCCAAAAGCUGAGGCUCACCACCAAGGCCGAGUGCUAUUGCACAAACUAGAGAACUCUUUCCAGAGCCAUUUGGUCCAAUUACAAGAUUUAAUCGGGAGCCUGGUUUGCAUGUCAACUUGCUGAAUGUCAUGAAGUUAUGAAGCUCAA
Molecule: unclassified non-coding RNA, 637 nt
Filed under: Hevea brasiliensis (rubber tree)
Lineage: Eukaryota; Viridiplantae; Streptophyta; Magnoliopsida; Malpighiales; Euphorbiaceae
Source: RNAcentral